GCAGUGGGUACGGGCAGACUAGAGUGCGGUAGGGGAGAUUGGAAUUCCUGGUGUAGCGGUGGAAUGCGCAGGUAUCAGGAGGAACGCCGAUGGCGAAGGCAGAUCUCUGGGCCGAACUGACGCUGAGGAGCGAAAGGGUGGGGAGCAAACAGGCUUAGAUACCCUGGUAGUCCACCCCGUAAACGUUGGGAACUAGUUGUGGGGCCGUGACGCAGCUAACGCAUUAAGUUCCCCGCCUGGGGAGUACGGCCGCAAGGCUAAAACUCAAAGGAAUUGACGGGGACCCGCACAAGCGGCGGAGCAUGCGGAUUAAUUCGAUGCAACGCGAAGAACCUUACCAAGGCUUGACAUACAGGUGGUGCAUGGUUGCCGUCGGCUCGUGUCGUGAGAUGUUGGGUUAAGUCCCGCAACGAGCGCAACCCUCGUUCUAUGUUGCAACUCAUGGGAUACUGCCGGGGUCAACUCGGAGGAAGGUGGGGAUGACGUCAAAUCAUCAUGCCCUUAUGUCUUGGGCUUCACGCAUGCUACAAUGGCCGGUACAAAGGGCUGCAAUACCGUAAGGUGGAGCGAAUCCCAAAAAGCCGGUCCCAGUUCGGAUUGAGGUCUGCAACUCGACCUCAUGAAGUCGGAGUCGCUAGUAAUCGCAGAUCAGCACGCUGCGGUGAAUACGUUCCCGGGUCUUGCACACACCGCCC
This 695-nucleotide ribosomal RNA is filed under the name uncultured bacterium. RNAcentral's name for it is "bacterial SSU rRNA". It matches the Rfam family "Bacterial small subunit ribosomal RNA", at positions 623 to 1395 of the family's 1533-position model. The record is from RNAcentral.